UCCCUCUUAGCUCAGUGGUAGAGCGCGUCACUAGUAGCUACUUGUUCCUAUGGAAUGACGAGGUCAGUCGUUCAAGUCGGCUAGAGGGAA
Termitomyces sp. Mi166#008 is the source of this 90-nucleotide non-coding RNA. NCBI's taxonomy places the organism in Eukaryota, Fungi, Basidiomycota, Agaricomycetes, Agaricales, Lyophyllaceae. The record is from the annotation of a GenBank genome assembly.